UAUUGCAUGUCAGAGUAAUUCUAUUGUGGUUUAAAUGCAGCUUAUUUACAUAUUUCUGACAGUUGUGGUUACUCUCCUCCUUGCAUUCUUGAGUCCCAAAUACAUAACUGGAAAUUGUGUCAGUCUACAAGGAUGCAGUUCCUCUGAUCUUCUGCAGAGGGGGCAAGGAAUCUGGGAACAAAAGAAUGGGAGAGCAGUGAUAGAAAGAUUUUACAGUGCAGAUUUAUUAUAUAAAUAGGGCAACGACAUGAGGAAACCAUGUAGGAGCUCACACUAUGAGGAAACAGACAAAUGUGGUUAUCAGGCUUUUUAAUUCAAAGUGCACACAGCUCCUCCGGGAUGUAAUGAGAGCACAGAUGUGCUCAUACACACACACACACACGUACACACAGAGUCUAUCUCACAGCUGGAUGACCAAGGGGCAGUCAGCACUGGGAAGGUCAGAUGACCAGGUCGAAGGUCAAGCCAUGGAGAACUGCAAUAGAGGGAAGGGGAGCACGACGGCAUCAAGCACACCAUGCACACACCCUCACGCACACGCACACAUUUAUUAAAGUCAUCAUCCAACACUGUUGUAACUCUUGAGCCUUUACUCCAGAUGGGCAAAGGAGGCAAAGAGUGUCUGUCUGUGUUUGCAUGUAAAAGCAAUUUGGUCUGAAUUAAAAGCUGGACACACACACACACACACACACACACACACACACACACACACACACACACACACACACACACAGUCAGAGUCCAGGUUGUGGUCAUUUGAUAAGAAGCCAGGCAGGACAACAUGGGUCAACAUCAAAGCAGCACUUGAGUAGAUCAGUUCCCUGUAUGUUUUCUUUCAUUCUUUUGAGGAAAUCCAGAAUAGCUGCUUCUUAAUAAUAUUCAGGAGAUGUCAGGUCACAGCAGGUGAAAUGAACCAAGUCUUAAUUGCCUUGAAGUGACCGGGCUAAUGCAUUACACAUUUGUGUGCUGGGAAGCACCAGCGAGGGGGUUCGAAGGAGGGGACCGGGUGAGCGAACGCAGGACCCCGAGUGGAUGACGGAAAGAGUGGGGGUGAGGAGGAGGAA
Molecule: long non-coding RNA, 1064 nt
Organism: Larimichthys crocea (large yellow croaker)
Lineage: Eukaryota; Metazoa; Chordata; Actinopteri; Sciaenidae
Exons: 3
Source: RefSeq, a predicted model, not a curated record